Molecule: ribosomal RNA, 482 nt
Filed under: uncultured bacterium
Lineage: Bacteria
Description: partial 16S ribosomal RNA
Rfam family: Bacterial small subunit ribosomal RNA
Source: RNAcentral
AUUGAACGCUGGCGGCAUGCUUUACACAUGCAAGUCGAACGGUAACAUGUCUUCGGAUGCUGACGAGUGGCGAACGGGUGAGUAAUACAUCGGAACGUGCCUAGUAGUGGGGGAUAACUACUCGAAAGAGUAGCUAAUACCGCAUGAGAUCUACGGAUGAAAGCAGGGGACCUUCGGGCCUUGUGCUACUAGAGCGGCUGAUGGCAGAUUAGGUAGUUGGUGGGGUAAAGGCUUACCAAGCCUGCGAUCUGUAGCUGGUCUGAGAGGACGACCAGCCACACUGGGACUGAGACACGGCCCAGACUCCUACGGGAGGCAGCAGUGGGGAAUUUUGGACAAUGGGCGAAAGCCUGAUCCAGCAAUGCCGCGUGCAGGAUGAAGGCCCUCGGGUUGUAAACUGCUUUUGUACGGAACGAAAAGCCUGGGGCUAAUAUCCCCGGGUCAUGACGGUACCGUAAGAAUAAGCACCGGCUAACUACGUG